GGGUUGUGAGGUUAAGCGACUAAGCGUACACGGUGGAUGCCCUGGCAGUCAGAGGCGAUGAAGGGCGUGCUAAUCUGCGAUAAGCGCCGGUAAGGUGAUAUGAACCGUUAUAACCGGCGAUACCCGAAUGGGGAAACCCAGUGUGAUUCGUCACACUAUCAUUAACUGAAUCCAUAGGUUAAUGAGGCGAACCGGGGGAACUGAAACAUCUAAGUACCCCGAGGAAAAGAAAUCAACCGAGAUUCCCCCAGUAGCGGCGAGCGAACGGGGAGGAGCCCAGAGCCUGAAUCAGCAUGUGUGUUAGUGGAAGCGUCUGGAAAGGCGCGCGAUACAGGGUGACAGCCCCGUACACAAAAGCGCAUGUGCUGUGAGCUCGAUGAGUAGGGCGGGACACGUGGUAUCCUGUCUGAAUAUGGGGGGACCAUCCUCCAAGGCUAAAUACUCCUGACUGACCGAUAGUGAACCAGUACCGUGAGGGAAAGGCGAAAAGAACCCCGGCGAGGGGAGUGAAAAAGAACCUGAAACCGUGUACGUACAAGCAGUGGGAGCNNNNNNNNNNNNNNGGGCGUUAAGUUGCAGGGUAUAGACCCGAAACCCGGUGAUCUAGCCAUGGGCAGGUUGAAGGUUGGGUAACACUAACUGGAGGACCGAACCGACUAAUGUUGAAAAAUUAGCGGAUGACCUGUGGCUGGGGGUGAAAGGCCAAUCAAACCGGGAGAUAGCUGGUUCUCCCCGAAAGCUAUUUAGGUAGCGCCUCGUGAAUUCAUCUCCGGGGGUAGAGCACUGUUUCGGCUAGGGGGCCAUCCCGGCUUACCAACCCGAUGCAAACUGCGAAUACCGGAGAAUGUUAUCACGGGAGACACACGGCGGGUGCUAACGUCCGUCGUGAAGAGGGAAACAACCCAGACCGCCAGCUAAGGUCCCAAAGUCAUGGUUAAGUGGGAAACGAUGUGGGAAGGCCCAGACAGCCAGGAUGUUGGCUUAGAAGCAGCCAUCAUUUAAAGAAAGCGUAAUAGCUCACUGGUCGAGUCGGCCUGCGCGGAAGAUGUAACGGGGCUAAACCAUGCACCGAAGCUGCGGCAGCGACACUGUGUGUUGUUGGGUAGGGGAGCGUUCUGUAAGCCUGCGAAGGUGGCCUGUGAGGGUUGCUGGAGGUAUCAGAAGUGCGAAUGCUGACAUAAGUAACGAUAAAGCGGGUGAAAAGCCCGCUCGCCGGAAGACCAAGGGUUCCUGUCCAACGUUAAUCGGGGCAGGGUGAGUCGACCCCUAAGGCGAGGCCGAAAGGCGUAGUCGAUGGGAAACGGGUUAAUAUUCCCGUACUUGGUGUUACUGCGAAGGGGGGACGGAGAAGGCUAUGUUGGCCGGGCGACGGUUGUCCCGGUUUAAGCGUGUAGGUGUGUGUUCCAGGUAAAUCCGGUUCACUUUAACACUGAGGCGUGACGACGAGGCACUACGGUGCUGAAGCAACAAAUGCCCUGCUUCCAGGAAAAGCCUCUAAGCAUCAGGUAACAUCAAAUCGUACCCCAAACCGACACAGGUGGUCAGGUAGAGAAUACCAAGGCGCUUGAGAGAACUCGGGUGAAGGAACUAGGCAAAAUGGUGCCGUAACUUCGGGAGAAGGCACGCUGACACGUAGGUGAAGUGAUUUACUCAUGGAGCUGAAGUCAGUCGAAGAUACCAGCUGGCUGCAACUGUUUAUUAAAAACACAGCACUGUGCAAACACGAAAGUGGACGUAUACGGUGUGACGCCUGCCCGGUGCCGGAAGGUUAAUUGAUGGGGUCAGCGCAAGCGAAGCUCCUGAUCGAAGCCCCGGUAAACGGCGGCCGUAACUAUAACGGUCCUAAGGUAGCGAAAUUCCUUGUCGGGUAAGUUCCGACCUGCACGAAUGGCGUAAUGAUGGCCAGGCUGUCUCCACCCGAGACUCAGUGAAAUUGAACUCGCUGUGAAGAUGCAGUGUACCCGCGGCAAGACGGAAAGACCCCGUGAACCUUUACUAUAGCUUGACACUGAACAUUGAGCCUUGAUGUGUAGGAUAGGUGGGAGGCUUUGAAGUGUGGACGCCAGUCUGCAUGGAGCCGACCUUGAAAUACCACCCUUUAAUGUUUGAUGUUCUAACGUGGACCCGUUACCCGGGUUGCGGACAGUGUCUGGUGGGUAGUUUGACUGGGGCGGUCUCCUCCUAAAGAGUAACGGAGGAGCACGAAGGUUGGCUAAUCCUGGUCGGACAUCAGGAGGUUAGUGCAAUGGCAUAAGCCAGCUUGACUGCGAGCGUGACGGCGCGAGCAGGUGCGAAAGCAGGUCAUAGUGAUCCGGUGGUUCUGAAUGGAAGGGCCAUCGCUCAACGGAUAAAAGGUACUCCGGGGAUAACAGGCUGAUACCGCCCAAGAGUUCAUAUCGACGGCGGUGUUUGGCACCUCGAUGUCGGCUCAUCACAUCCUGGGGCUGAAGUAGGUCCCAAGGGUAUGGCUGUUCGCCAUUUAAAGUGGUACGCGAGCUGGGUUUAGAACGUCGUGAGACAGUUCGGUCCCUAUCUGCCGUGGGCGCUGGAGAACUGAGGGGGGCUGCUCCUAGUACGAGAGGACCGGAGUGGACGCAUCACUGGUGUUCGGGUUGUCAUGCCAAUGGCACUGCCCGGUAGCUAAAUGCGGAAGAGAUAAGUGCUGAAAGCAUCUAAGCACGAAACUUGCCCCGAGAUGAGUUCUCCCUGAGACUUAGAGUCUCCUGAAGGAACGUUGAAGACGACGACGUUGAUAGGCCGGGUGUGUAAGCGCAGCGAUGCGUUGAGCUAACCGGUACUAAUGAACCGUGAGGCUUAACCUUACAACGCCGAAG
This 2834-nucleotide ribosomal RNA is filed under the name Salmonella enterica subsp. enterica serovar Enteritidis. Its description in RNAcentral is "bacterial LSU rRNA". It matches the Rfam family "Bacterial large subunit ribosomal RNA". Lineage: Bacteria; Pseudomonadati; Pseudomonadota; Gammaproteobacteria; Enterobacterales; Enterobacteriaceae. The record is from RNAcentral.